GCAGUACUAGUGUAAUGGUAGCGCUUCAGAUUUCCAUUCUGAUUGUAGGGGUUCGAUUCCCCUGUACUGCU
Molecule: transfer RNA, 71 nt
Filed under: Dichotomosiphon tuberosus
Lineage: Eukaryota; Viridiplantae; Chlorophyta; Ulvophyceae; Bryopsidales; Dichotomosiphonaceae
Description: tRNA-Gly
Rfam family: tRNA
About the family: Transfer RNA (tRNA) molecules are approximately 80 nucleotides in length. Their secondary structure includes four short double-helical elements and three loops (D, anti-codon, and T loops). Further hydrogen bonds mediate the characteristic L-shaped molecular structure. tRNAs have two regions of fundamental functional importance: the anti-codon, which is responsible for specific mRNA codon recognition, and the 3' end, to which the tRNAs corresponding amino acid is attached (by aminoacyl-tRNA synthetases). tRNAs cope with the degeneracy of the genetic code in two manners: having more than one tRNA (with a specific anti-codon) for a particular amino acid; and 'wobble' base-pairing, i.e. permitting non-standard base-pairing at the 3rd anti-codon position.
Source: RNAcentral